Molecule: transfer-messenger RNA, 222 nt
Filed under: Ramlibacter sp.
Lineage: Bacteria; Pseudomonadati; Pseudomonadota; Betaproteobacteria; Burkholderiales; Comamonadaceae
Description: partial transfer-messenger RNA
Rfam family: transfer-messenger RNA
About the family: Bacterial tmRNA, also known as 10Sa RNA or SsrA, is named for its dual tRNA and mRNA-like properties. Its role is to liberate the mRNA from a stalled ribosome.
Source: RNAcentral
GGGGAUGAUCGGUUUCGACAUUGCCUGCGCAAUUAUGAGAAGCGGGUCGAGGAUGCAGGGUUAUCUCGUAAACGAUCUCUACAAAACAAUAAGUGCCAAAUCAAACCGCACUGACUUCGCCCUCGCUGCCUAAGCGAGCGCACUAAGAAGUCCGCCAGGCCGGGAAUGCUCUCUACCCGGACCCUGACGUCAUUUAGAGAGAUUGCUCCUACUCUGAGCCGC